AGGGCAGGAUGCCGGAUAACGUCCGGUGGAGGUGACUCCAAGGCCAGUGCAACAGAAAUAUACCGCCGGCUUAGGCCGGUAAGGGUGGAAGGGCAGUGUAAGAGACUACCGCUUCCGUGGUAACACGGGAGGCAUAUGUAAACCCCAUCCGAAGCAAGACCAAAACGAAGCGAUUACGUGGCCCGCCAGCUUCAGGUAGGUUGCUUGAGCCUGCCGGUAACGGCAGGACUAGAUAGAUGACCAUUCAAGACAUAACCCGGCUUACAGGUUCACUCGU
This 277-nucleotide RNase P RNA is filed under the name uncultured Butyrivibrio sp. Its description in RNAcentral is "Bacterial RNase P class A". It matches the Rfam family "Bacterial RNase P class A", at positions 63 to 364 of the family's 367-position model. From Rfam's summary of the family: Ribonuclease P (RNase P) is a ubiquitous endoribonuclease, found in archaea, bacteria and eukarya as well as chloroplasts and mitochondria. Its best characterised activity is the generation of mature 5'-ends of tRNAs by cleaving the 5'-leader elements of precursor-tRNAs. Lineage: Bacteria; Bacillati; Bacillota; Clostridia; Lachnospirales; Lachnospiraceae. The record is from RNAcentral.